Molecule: long non-coding RNA, 2273 nt
Filed under: Vombatus ursinus (common wombat)
Lineage: Eukaryota; Metazoa; Chordata; Mammalia; Diprotodontia; Vombatidae
Description: lncRNA (ENSVURG00010012409.1)
Source: RNAcentral
GCAAGGAAAAAUGUACUUUGGAAAUUCUUGUAUUCUCCUUGUAAUAUUUCAUUCUUUUAUCCUAUAAUAAUAGGUAUGAGCAGAAGGACUUUCUCAUCAAGCAGAAGAUGAAACAGAAAAUAAAUGAAAGAAAAAAGCAAGAAAUAAGAAGAGCUGAAAAAGAAGAUAAAGAUAAAUUGGCUGUUAGUGAAUAUGAAAGGUGGCUGGAGAAGAAAGAAAAAAAAGAAAAACACGAGAGAAAACAAAAGAAGCAUGUUGUUCUUUAUACAUCUGAAUCAUUUCCUCAGUGGAAUUCUCCAAGAAAAUUUGCACUAACAAAAAAUUGAGAAUUCAACUUCCAAUCCUGUCCAAUCUUUAUUUAACAGUAACCAAUUUAAAAGGGGUUUCGGAACAUACUUUGUAUAUUUUAUUUUUAGAAUGGAAAUUCUAUUUAAAUUGCAAUUCCAGAAGACUGUUGUAAUAUAAAAGGUUGUUUGGAGUUUAAUGAUCAAAACACUAUACAGGCUAUAAAUAAGCAGGUUGCUUCAAAAGCCAAGAUGUAGAUUCUUUCCAUUUAUACCAAAAAAAAAAAAAAACCUUCUAUCAUGUCCUUUAAAUUCUUCAAAAUUAGGUGACUUUAGUCUUGGUGAAUACGUAUAUCUCAGAUCCCUUUAUGAAACAGAAUCAUUUUCAAGGUACUAUGAUUAUCGAGAUGCUAUUUAAAUAUGUGAAUUGAUAGUACUUUUAGGUUUAUUUUUUUCAUAUUUAUUCACUGGAAAAUAUAUGUAACAUUCCCUUUAUCUUAAAGCUAUUAUUUUUGCACUGAAGAAUUUUGGAACUAUGCCAAGUUAAUUUUUGGUGAGUGGAGAUAGUACUCUAUCAAACUAAUAAUCCUCAAAUCUUCUCUUUGAAAAAAAUUAUCUUGCUAUUUCCUUUCAUUACCCCAAAAGAAACACAGUUUUUGAAAAUAAGUGCACUUUAACACCUCUGUUCUAGGUUCAGGUGACAGUCACAAGUACUUUUUAAACUCUUCUUGUUCCUUCCAAACUCUCUUUCUUGUUCCAUGAUUACAGCAGAAAGUCUAAGUGCUCAAUAAUACUAUAGUAUUGUCUUUAUUCAUUUGUCAAGAAAAUUCCACAGGAUUUCAAAGACAGCACCAUUAAUAUUUUCCAAAAAGGCAGUAAAUUUGACAAUGGCAAUUCUUGUGCCAUCUUGCCUGGUCCUCCUUAUGACUAAAGGCAUGCAUUUGAAAGCUAGAUGGCCAUGGACAUGUGUGCAGGGGUUGGCAAUAGAACCAUCUUCCCCUGCGUACAACCCUUUGGAUGCAUUAGCACCAUGGGGUUUUUUGUUUUGUUUUGAUCUUUUCUUUUUUAACUAACCAAGCUACCUAGAAACAGAUGAAAUAUAAGCACUCAGAAUUUGAGUGUUGCUUUGGUCUACAAUGGAAUACAUAGAAAGAAAUGGGAAAAUUGUAAAGUCUAGCCAGAUUUUGGUAUUGAAUCAGCCUUAUAAAAAGUAUUUGGACUCUCACAACCAAAGAGCAAGUUUACUGUUCAAAAAAAUUCACCAUGAAGAAACUGGUGGUUUUUAAAAUGAUGUUGCACCCAUCCAAUGUAGUUCUUACCACUAGUGGAAUGAAGUUUGGAUUUCAUAGAGUAUCAAUUUUAUUCAGCCUUUAUACAACAGUGUUUGACAACAUGGCAGCUUAGAAGUUGCUCUUGGGCUGCAGCCUUCCAGUAACACUGCAGAUUAAAAACAUUAUUCAUCCUUCAGACUGUCACCUAGGAGUUUAAGACUAUACACUGAUAAUUUCAUUCAUUCCACAGGAUGUGUGAAAUACUUGCAAGUUCAACAGCACUGUUCUGGGAAUUAACAGCAUGUUUUAAGGAAGAGAACUUUUUUUUUUAACUUUAAACCAGAGCAAUCCUGCAUCUGGUGAAAAUGUUUUAUCAGUAAUAUCAUCUGAAAGAUAUCACUGGAUUCUGAAAAGAUCAGCAAGUAACCAGAAGCUAGCUUGUUUAAGAGAUAUACAGGAAGUCUGUGGUGCCAGUGUGACAAAGAUUCAGUUUCAGCGUGAGCAGUACGUUCUGUUUGGGGCUGUGAGGCUUUCUUUUUGUCUGUGAGAUUUCAUGAUUAUAGUGACAUACUGGAGGCUCAACAUUCAAGAUUUGCAUAACCUUCCUCAAAAGUUUUGUAUUACAUGGGUAGACUUAUCUUAAAUACUUGUAUUAAACAUGUAUCUUUUUCAGUUGCUUGGCCUCAUUAAUAAAUAUUAAAACUUCCAUUUUCUGUCA